CAUAGCCUUUAGCCCCACAAGUAUUAAAGGUCCAGCCUGCCCAGUGACCCAUUCAACGGCCGCGGUAUCCUAACCGUGCAAAGGUAGCAUAAUCACUUGUCUCCUAAAUAGAGACUGGUAUGAACGGCUAAAUGAGGAUUAAACUGUCUCUUGUAAUUAACCUAUGAAACUGAUCUUGUAGUCCAAAAGCUACAAUAUAAACACUAGACGAGAAGACCCUGUGGAGCUUUAAAACCAAAGCCAAAUACAUGCCCCCUUGGUUUUUAGUUGGGGCAACUUCGGAGUAUAAACAAACCUCCGACAAACCACGAAUCAAGACAAACAAGUCAAAACCAACACUUGACCCAAUAGUCUAACCCAGACUAUUUGACCAAUGAACCAAGUUACCCCAGGGAUAACAGCGCUAUCCCCUUUUAGAGUCCCUAUCGACAAGGGGGCUUACGACCUCGAUGUUGGAUCAGGACACCCCAAUAAUGCAGCCGUUAUUAAAGGUUCGUUUGUUCAACGAUUAAAGUCCUACGUGAUCUGAGUUCAGACC
Molecule: ribosomal RNA, 538 nt
Filed under: Mesalina olivieri
Lineage: Eukaryota; Metazoa; Chordata; Lepidosauria; Squamata; Lacertidae
Description: partial 16S ribosomal RNA
Rfam family: Bacterial large subunit ribosomal RNA
Source: RNAcentral